CUUCGGGGUGGCCUCCCUGCUUAUAUCUCCUCUCCACCCCAGCCCAUCGUGCACACACAGGCAGAUUUAUCUCCCGAAACAGCGCUUUCAUCUUGACCUUCAAUGACUACAAUUCGAAGUCCUUCCUGCUCAGGCCAAGCCUUGGCGUUGGAGUGUACGGUCUCGUUUUUUAUUAUUUAAUGCUGAGCCCUUCUGCAAGAUUGGAAAGUAAUAAGUGAUAGAAACGUUUAAACCGUGUGGUCUUAACCGCGCUCUCUAGUCAGCUCAGGAAUUUCAAUCUCCACUAAACUUUAACACAUUAUCUUGGGUUGUUUCAUUACAAAGGGCAUAGUGUAAUACACUGGCCAAAGUUUAUCUUCCAACUUGCUGUAAGAACCAAGAAAACCAUCUCCCAAGUCUGAUUGCAAAAUCCUUCUAUAUUUCUAUGAGACGGAAAUAGAGGAAGAGAGUGGUCCUGGUUGCUAUCCCUGUUUACUGACUACAUCUCUGAACCCGCAAAUUCCACCUGGGCCCGAGUUGACCACCUCACGCAGCACCCACGAGUGCCUUCACGUCAUGUCUGCUUCUGAAAUACGCUUCAGUGGACCUGCCGUUCCAGGACAAGAAGGUUGCUAUCUUUAGUAUGGAAUUGUAAUGUGCAAGCAACUGCUUGAGCAUGGUUAGGUGAUGUCUCCUUUCCCCGCUGAAACUCGCUUUACAAAGCUUUGCCGAUUCAAACUAAUACAUGUCAAGCUUAGAUUUGUAAGAGCAACUACUUUUUAUCAUUAAGAUGGAUAACUCAGAAUAAUUCAUUAAGCCAGCCUGAGUUUUACUGGCUUCCCUGCUGUUGACUCAGAGCUCUGCUAAGGUUCUUUGUCUCUUUCUUUCUAUUCUUUUGACCCUCGCCCCUUCUUUCCCCCUUUCACCAACUAUUUAUGACCUGACACACAAAUGCAUCUACACAUUAUAUUUGGAACGAAGUAUUGAAUGUGUUUGGAAAUUGUGCUGGGAACAAUGAGGAAUGCAAAGAUGAUGAUGACAGCUCACUUGUCUUAAAGGAGAUGACACUCCA
Long non-coding RNA from Echinops telfairi (small Madagascar hedgehog), 1051 nucleotides. RefSeq lists it as uncharacterized. The transcript is spliced from 2 exons. The record is from RefSeq and is a predicted model, not a curated record. Lineage: Eukaryota; Metazoa; Chordata; Mammalia; Afrosoricida; Tenrecidae.